CAGUCGCCACGGUAAUACGGAGGGUGCAAGCGUUAAUCGGAAUUACUGGGCGUAAAGCGCACGCAGGCGGUCUGACAAGUCAGAUGUGAAAUCCCCGGGCUUAACCUGGGAACUGCAUUUGAAACUGUCAGGCUGGAGUCUUGUAGAGGGGGGUGGAAUUCCAGGUGUAGCGGUGAAAUGCGUAGAGAUCUGGAGGAAUACCGGUGGCGAAGGCGGCCCCCUGGACAAAGACUGACGCUCAGGUGCGAAAGCGUGGGGAGCAAACAGGAUUAGAUACCCCGGUAGUCCCUGUCUCUUAACA
This 301-nucleotide ribosomal RNA is filed under the name uncultured bacterium. Its description in RNAcentral is "partial 16S ribosomal RNA". It matches the Rfam family "Bacterial small subunit ribosomal RNA", at positions 509 to 808 of the family's 1533-position model. The record is from RNAcentral.